This 69-nucleotide transfer RNA is filed under the name Mustilizans eitschbergeri. RNAcentral's name for it is "tRNA-Cys". The record is from RNAcentral. Lineage: Eukaryota; Metazoa; Arthropoda; Insecta; Lepidoptera; Endromidae.
AAGUUUUAAUAUAUUAUUAUUUAUAUACCUUAAAAUUUGCAAUUUUAAAUCAUUUUUGACUAUAAAACU